Molecule: ribosomal RNA, 253 nt
Filed under: uncultured bacterium
Lineage: Bacteria
Description: partial 16S ribosomal RNA
Rfam family: Bacterial small subunit ribosomal RNA
Source: RNAcentral
UACAGAGGGGGCAAGCGUUGUUCGGAAUUACUGGGCGUAAAGGGCGCGUAGGCGGCCCGCUAAGUCGAACGUGAAAUCCCCGAGCUCAACUCGGGAACUGCGUCCGAUACUGGUGGGCUUGAAUCCGGGAGAGGGAUGUGGAAUUCCAGGUGUAGCGGUGAAAUGCGCAGAUAUCUGGAGGAACACCGGUGGCGAAGGCGGCAUCCUGGACCGGUAUUGACGCUGAGGCGCGAAAGCUAGGGGAGCAAACGGG